This 456-nucleotide ribosomal RNA is filed under the name uncultured Gammaproteobacteria bacterium. Its description in RNAcentral is "partial 16S ribosomal RNA". The record is from RNAcentral. Lineage: Bacteria; Pseudomonadati; Pseudomonadota; Gammaproteobacteria.
AUGCGUUAGCUGCGACACCAGGUAUAAAUACCCAACGUCUAGUUCUCAUUGUUUACGGCGUGGACUACCUGGGUAUCUAAUCCUGUUUGCUCCCCACGCUUUCGUACCUCAGCGUCAGUUGUAUCCCAGAUAGCUGCCUUCGCCAUUGGUGUUCCUCCAGAUAUCUCCGCAUUUCACCGCUACACCUGGAAUUCCGCUAUCCUCUAAUAAACUCUAGCGAUACAGUAUCGAAUGCAGUUCCUGAGUUAAGCCCAGGGCUUUCACACCCGACUUGUAAAGCCGCCUACGUACUCUUUACGCCCAGUAAUUCCGAUUAACGCUUGCACCCUCCGUAUUACCGCGGCUGCUGGCACGGAGUUAGCCGGUGCUUCUUCUGUAGUUAAUGUCAAGACUAUCCAGUAUUUAUGAAUAAUCCCAUCUUGGCUACUGAAAGUGCUUUACAACCCGCAGGCCUUC